UUUUGUUUUUCACAAUUAUAUUUAAUAAGCUAUUAUUGUUAUCCUCAUACAUUUUAUAUUAUUUUACAAAACAGAAAAGUUCACCAAAAAUUACACCAUAGUUACAGUACGUGUGUAUAGCAUGUAUCACAAGACGUCGGAGGAAUGCGAUGUUUACCAUGAAUCCCUGACACUUUUACUUUACACAAUAUUUACACUGUUGUGUUGAGCUAACAAUGCGCCUCACUGUGGUAGAAAAACACACAGACAUGUUUACAGUAUUAGGAAGGAAACUGCAGAAAACACACAGACAUGUUUACAGUAUUAGGAAGGAAACUGCAGAAAAACACACAGACAUGUUUACAGUAUUAUCAUUGAGGAAGGAAACUGCAGAAAAACACACAGACAUGUUUACAGUAUUAGGAAGGAAACUGCAAAAAACACACAGACAUGUUUACAGUAUUAGGAAGGAAACUGCAGAAAACACACAGACAUGUUUACAGUAUUAGGAAGGAAACUGCAGAAAACACACAGAAAUGUUUACAGUAUUAGCAUUGAUGAAGGAAACUGCAAAAAACACACAGACAUGUUUACAGUAUUAUCAUUGAGGGUGUGGGUGUGUUCCCGAGAGGUUUUUUUAACAUCUCAGGCAGCUCAUAAAUAUGACGUAUUGUAAUCUUCUGAGAUGUGCAUCAUGACUGCAAAACAGACCACCUGGAACACACCCAGUGUGUGUGAAGAAGCAGACCCACACCGUUCAUGGAGAAGUCCUGGUGAACUCCACAGCAUGCAGAGGAAAGUAGAGGAGGGACUAGGGACACACAGAGACUGUCUGUAGAGGACUGGGGACACACAGAGACUGUCUGUAGAGGAGGAGGGACACACAGAGACUGUCUGUAGAGGAGGAGGGACACACAGUGACUGUCUGUAGAGGAGGAGGGACUAGGGACACACAGAGACUGUAGAGGAGGGACUAGGGACACACAGUGACUGUCUGUAGAGGAGGAGGGACACACAGUGACUGUCUGUAUAGGAGGAGGGACACACAGAGACUGUAGAGGAGGGACUAGGGACAUACAGUGACUGUCUGUAGAGGAAGAGGGACACACAGUGACUGUCUGUAGAGGAGGAGGGACACACAGUGACUGUCUGUAGAGGAGGAGGGACUAGGGACACACAGUGACUGUCUGUAGAGGAGGAGGGUCACACAGUGACUGUCUGUAGCGGAGGAGGGACACACAGUGACUGUCUGUAGAGGAAGAGGGACUAGGGACACACAGUGACUGUCUGUGAGACCAGAAAUGGACAGCAUUUGUAGAACCAGAGCCAUAUCUUUAGCCUGAUAUUGGUCUCUGUGUGUGACUCUGUGUAAGGCCUUUAAGACACAUGCAUGAUCUGUAACAUCUGUAACAAUAUAGCUAGUUAUUCACACAGAGGACAAAACAAGGAUUUCAUGCUGUUAUGUUUGUGAGAAUGGGAAUAUGCUUCCAUAGUGGGUGGAAUAUGCUUCCACAGUGGGUGGAAUAUGCUUCCAUAGUGGGUGGAAUAUGCUUCCACAGUGGGUGGAAUAUGCUUCCAGUGAAGCGAUUUCUGAAAGUACUGUCUGGAACACAGUGAAUAAGAUAAGGAAGUGGAUCCAAUUCUGAAAGUACUGUCUGGAACACCGCGAAUUAGAUAAGGAAGUCGAUCCAAUUCUGAAAGUACCGUCUGGAACACAGCGAAUUAGAUAAGGAAGUCGAUCCAAUUCUGAAAGUACCGUCUGGAACACAGUGAAUUAACUCUGUGGACUCAUCAUUUCAUAAUGAUUGGCAGUGCUGUUUAUAGGCAGAUGGGCAGGAAGCAUCCCUUGGUAUUAGUGGCAUAGUUACUUACCCCUCUGCAUUUAAAAAAACCCUGCAGAGAGAUUCAAAGUGCAAAACCUCAGUCCUCACUAUCUAGUGUUGCAGGCUAUAAAAAGCAUGAACAUUCCUAGGCUUCGUUCCUAACGGUACCCUAUUCCCUAUGUAGUGCACUGCGUUUGAGCUGAGCUGUAUGCACCCUGGUCAAAAAGUAGUGCACUACUACCCUAUUGACCCUGGUCAAAAGUAGUGCACUACGUAGGGAAUGUGGUGCCAUUUGAGGCGCACAUCUAGUAUGGAAUCCCAAACACUGUUUUGCAUAGACUAAAAUGACUUCCAGAGAGUUUUCAAUAGUUUUCAAUCUCCUCUCUGUCUUUUCAGGAGUUUUCAAUAGUUUUCAAUCUCCUCUCUUGUCUUUUCAACAGUUUUCAAUAGUUUUCAAUCUUCUCUCUUGUCUUUUCAGGAGUUUUCAAUAGUUUUCAAUCUCCUCUGUUGUCUUUUCAACAGUUUUCAAUAGUUUUCAAUCUCCUCUCUGUCUUUUCAACAGUUUUCAAUAGUUUUCAAUCUCCUCUCUUAUCUUUUCAGGAGUUUUCAAUAGUUUUCAAUCUCCUCUCUUAUCUUUUCAGGAGUUUCACUAGUUGUGGACAUUUUACUUGUGCGUCAAUGUCAAAGUAACUAUUGACUCUAUGUACUUGGCGUCUGGUAUUAAAAAAAAGGCAUUUAACCUCUAUGGGCUAGGUGGGACGCUAGCGUCCCCCCCGUGGUGCACUCCAUCAACAGCAGGUGCAUUUCAAGAGCGGCAAAUUUGAAUCCAAAUAAAUGUCAAAAUUCAAAUUUUUCAAACAUACAACUAUUUUACACCCUUUGAAAGAUAAACAUCUCCUUAAUCUAACCACGUUUUACGAUUUCAAAAAGGUUUUACGGCGAAAGCAUAAAUUUAGAGUAUGUUAGGACAGUACAUUUACAAGAGUUGUGUGUAAUGUUUUGUCAAUUCAAAGACAGGGUCACCAAAACCAUAAAACCAGCUAAAAUGAUGCACUAACCUUUUACAAUCUCCAUCAGAUGACACUCCUAGGACAUUAUGUUAGACAAUGCAUGCAUUUUUAGUUCUAUCAAGUUCAUAUUUAUAUCCAAAAACAGCGUUUUACUAUGGCAUUGAUGUUGAGGAAAUCGUUUCCCUCCAAUAACCGGCAGUCAAGUCAACACCACAAAUUAAAUAAUUAAAAUUAGAAAACAUUGGUAAAAUAUUAUAUUGUCAUUUAAAGAAUUAUAGAUUUACAUCUCUUGAACGCAAUCAACUUGCCAGAUUUAAAAAUAACCUUACUGGGAAAUCACACUUUGCAAUAAUCUGAGCACUGCGCCCAGAAAAAUACGCGUUGCGAUACAGACUAGACGGCAUGUUGGGGAGAUCUAAAAUCGAAAAUACUAUGUAAAUAAUCCAUUACCUUUGAUUCUCUUCAUCAGAUGUCACUUCCAGGUAUCACAGGUCCAUAACGAAUGUAGUUUUGUUCAAAAAAGCUCAUCAUUUAUGUCCAAAAAUCUCCGUCUUGUUAGCACAUGAUCUAAGCCAGCCGGACUUCUCGUCAUGAACGAGGGGAAAAAAUA
This 3422-nucleotide long non-coding RNA is filed under the name Salmo salar (Atlantic salmon). RNAcentral describes it as "lncRNA (ENSSSAG00000107381.1)". The record is from RNAcentral. Lineage: Eukaryota; Metazoa; Chordata; Actinopteri; Salmoniformes; Salmonidae.